Molecule: ribosomal RNA, 1235 nt
Filed under: metagenome
Description: SSU rRNA
Rfam family: Eukaryotic small subunit ribosomal RNA
Source: RNAcentral
UACACUUUAAAUCCUUUAACGAGGAUCUAUUGGAGGGCAAGUCUGGUGCCAGCAGCCGCGGUAAUUCCAGCUCCAAUAGCGUAUAUUAAAGUUGCUGCGGUUAAAAGCUCGUAGUUGGAUCUCAGUCUCGGUCGGACGGUCCACUUCACGGUGGUACUGUUCGAAUCGGACAUUUGGCCGCCUUUCUCAGUAUGCUCUUCACUGAGUGUAUUGGGAGAGUGGCACGUUUACUUUGAAAAAAUUAGAGUGCUCAAAGCAGGCAAUUGCCUGAAUCUUCGUGCAUGGAAUGAUGGAAUAGGGCCUCGGUUCUAUUUUGUUGGUUUCCGGAACUCGAGGUAAUGAUUAAGAGGGACGGACGGGGGCAUUCGUAUUGCGACGUUAGAGGUGAAAUUCUUAGACCGUCGCAAGACGAACUACUGCGAAAGCAUUUGCCAAGAAUGUUUUCAUUAAUCAAGAACGAAAGUCAGAGGUUCGAAGGCGAUCAGAUACCGCCCUAGUUCUGACCUUAAACGAUGCUAUCUGGCGAUCCGUCGGUGUUAAUUCCAAUGACCCGACGGGCAGCUUCCGGGAAACCAAAGUGUUCAAGUUCCGGGGGAAGUAUGGUUGCAAAACUGGAACUUAAAGGAAUUGACGGAAGGGCACCACCAGGAGUGGAGCCUGUGGCUUAAUUUGACCCAACACGGGAAAUCUCACCAGGCCCGGACACUGGCAGGAUUGACAGAUUGAUAGCUCUUUCUUGAUUCAGUGGGUGGUGGUGCAUGGCCGUUCUUAGUUGGUGGAGUGAUUUGUCUGGUUAAUUCCGAUAACGAACGAGACCCCGUCCUACUUACUAGACUGAGGAUUCUUUUGUCCUCAGAAUCUUCUUAGAGGGACAACUGGCGUUUAUCUAGCUACAUGAAAUGGGGCAAUAACAGGUCUGUGAUGCCCUUAGAUGUUCUGGGCCGCACACGCGCUACACUGAAGGGAUCAUCGUGUUUGUCCUAGCCUGAAAAGGCCGGGAAAUCCGUUGAAAUCUCUUCGUGCUAGGGAUUGAGGCUUGCAAUUUUUUCUCAUGAACGAGGAAUUCCCAGUAAGUGCGAGUCAUAAGCUCGCGCUGAUUACGUCCCUGCCCUUUGUACACACCGCCCGUUGCUACUACCGAUUGGAUGAUUUAGUGAGGCCUUCGGACUGGCUGCUAGUGGGGCACUUGUGUCCUGCUGGUGGAUCGGGAAGAUGUUCAAACUGUAUCAUCUAGA